Molecule: long non-coding RNA, 346 nt
Filed under: Eucalyptus grandis
Lineage: Eukaryota; Viridiplantae; Streptophyta; Magnoliopsida; Myrtales; Myrtaceae
Description: long non-coding RNA (EGRA_LNC002896)
Source: RNAcentral
ACGGAGAGAGUUGUAGCGUGCGCUCGUCUCUGAUGCCUUGGUCCUUUGUACUCCAUCGAAGUCGUUACGUUGAUAAACCGAACGGUUCAUUUCCCACGUUCUUCACAUGUUAGGACCAAAUCUUCAUCCAUCAUCACGCCUUUCCAUGUUUGCAUGCUUUGGCCCAUGUAAAUGAGCAUGCUGCGAUCUUCUUCGUCUUCUUGUUUGCCCGAAGCCUCAUCACGUGACUCACACAGCCACGAACUCUGCAUGCUUUUCUUGGUCGAACUCAUCCUCUCGAUAUUAAGUCGAAAAGUAGGUCGAGCCUCUCUCUCCUUGUCGAGCUCUCCCCCCGCAUUGAUCGUUU